GGGAAUUACCCUGUGAACGCGAGGAAAUAAUAGAAACUCCCUUAAGUAGUUUAAGUAAACGCCUUUAAAGGCGAGUCUUAGAAGCCCUUCCCUGCGCUCGGAAAAUCGAAAGUCGCAACCCUGCUUGGCUUCUGGUCUCUGACCUGGUUUUUGCUCUCCCGCUUCCUCACUACGUCACCGAGAAAACUGUGAAACAAAGAUUCGUUUCGCUCAGUGCUCCGGGCCCGCGCCCUGGAAAGUUUCUGCGUCUCCAGCUGCGUUUGCCGCGUAGGUCGCGUCGAGCUCUCCUCCGAGAGGGAGGUGUGAGUGAAGGCGUGAGGAGUCGGCCGCUGCCCGUGGGCUCGCUUCUCGCAGGCUCCUGCUCAUUCAGUCAUCUUUCAUUCUUCUCCCCACAUUGACUCUCUCGUUGCUGAGCCCUACUGGAAGAAAUCGUGUCCCGAGUGUUUCCCAAGCUUUCUCAAGUGAUGGGGAGACUUGCAGGUGGUUUGAGAACAAAGUUCUGUGCAUUAGUAUCCAUCCUCCCAACGGGUAAUGACACUUCAAUUGCACUUAAGGAGGACCACCCCUCACCACUGGAUGCAAACUUACUUCGCCUGUUUAUCAAGGCAGUCAUGUCAGCUGAAACACCAAUCACACUGAAUGUCAAUCCUCAGGAUCUGCAGGUCCAGACAUUCACCGUAGAGAAGCUGCUGGAGCCUCUCAUAAUCCAGGUUACUACACUUGUAAAUUGUCCCCAGAAUCCUUCCAACAGGAAAAAAGGACGUUCUAAAAGAGCCAGAGUCCUUCUAGCUUCUGUGGAGGAAGCAACUUGGAAUUUAUUAGACAAGGGAGAGAAGAUUGCUCAAGAAGCCACAGUUUUAAAGGAAGAGCUUACUGGGGCACUUGAGGAUGUUCGCAAAGAAAGUGAAGCUCUGAAAGUAUCAGCUGAGAGAUUUGCAGAUGAUCCCUGUUAUCUCGCAAAAAGGGAGGCUGUGGUUCAAGCUGCCCGUGCCUUGUUGGCUGCAGUUACCAGACUCCUUAUCCUCGCAGAUAUGAUUGAUGUCAUGUGUCUCUUGCAGCAUGUGUCAGCUUUUCAGAGGACAUUUGAGUCUCUUAAAAAUGUUUCCAACAAAUCUGACCUCCAGAAAACCUACCAGAAGCUUGGGAAGGAGCUGGAAAAUCUGGACUAUUUAGCCUUCAAACGUCAGCAGGACCUAAAAUCUCCAAAUCAGAGGGAUGAAAUUGCAGGUGCCCGGGCCUCAUUGAAGGAGAACUCCCCCAUAUUGCAUUCAAUUUGUUCAGCUUGUUUGGAACAUUCUGAUGUCGCUUCCCUCAAAGCCAGCAAGGACACAGUUUGUGAAGAAAUUCAGAACGCCCUCGAUGUAAUUUCAAAUGCUUCACAAGGCAUCCAGAAUGUGUUAGUCCCACCAGAACCUCAGGCAGCAACCCUGGGAAGUGCCCUUGAUGAGCUUGAGAAUUUAAUUGUCUUGGAUCCACUCACAGUGACUGAGGAGGAAACAAGACCAUCCCUAGAGAAACGCCUCGAAGCCAUUAUCAGUGGGGCUGCUCUGUUGGCUGACUCUUCAUGCACGAGGGAUUUCCAUCGGGAGCGAAUUAUCGCAGAAUGCAAUGCCAUUCGCCAGGCUCUCCAGGACCUGCUUUCAGAGUACAUGAACAAUACUGGAAAAAAGGAAAGGAGUAAUACCUUGAAUAUUGCAAUAGAAAACAUGUGCAAGAAGACAAGAGACCUUCGCAGACAGCUCCGUAAGGCUAUUAUAGAUCAUGUGUCAGACUCCUUUUUGGAUACGACAGUCCCACUUUUGGUUCUCAUUGAAGCUGCCAAGAAUGGCCGGGAAAAGGAAAUAAAAGAAUAUGCUGCAAUAUUUCGUGAACACACCAGCAGGCUUGUAGAGGUGGCAAAUCUUGCUUGUUCCAUGUCAACAAAUGAAGAUGGAAUUAAGAUUGUCAAAGUUGCAGCCAAUCACCUGGAAACCUUGUGUCCACAGAUUAUUAAUGCUGCACUUGCUUUGGCUGCAAGACCCAAAAGCCAAGUGGUCAAAAAAACCAUGGAAAUGUACAGAUGCACGUGGGAGAAUCAUGUCCAUGUCCUCACUGAAGCUGUAGAUGACAUUACAAGCAUUGAUGACUUCCUUGCUGUAUCUGAGAGCCAUAUCCUAGAAGAUGUCAACAAAUGUAUCAUAGCCUUGAGAGACCAGGAUGCUGAUAAUUUAGAUCGAGCUGCAGGUGCUAUCAGAGGACGGGCCGCAAGAGUUGCUCACAUUGUCACAGGUGAAAUGGACAGUUACGAGCCGGGAGCUUACACAGAAGGUGUGAUGAGAAAUGUUAACUUCCUGACAAGUACUGUAAUUCCGGAAUUUGUAACACAAGUGAAUGUUGCCUUGGAAGCCUUAAGUAAAAACUCUUUGGAUGUGUUUGAUGAUGAUCAGUUUGUGGACAUCUCAAAAAAGAUCUAUGAUACAAUUCAUGAUAUUAGAUGUUCAGUCAUGAUGAUUCGGACUCCAGAGGAACUAGAGGAUGUUUCUGACCUGGAAGAAGAUCACGAGGUCCGCAGUCACACCAGUGUUCAGACUGAAGGGAAAACUGAUCGGGCUAAGAUGACUCAAUUGCCUGAGGCAGAAAAGGAAAAGAUAGCUGAGCAAGUUGCUGAUUUCAAGAAAGUAAAGAGUAAGCUGGAUGCUGAGAUUGAGAUAUGGGACGAUACGAGCAACGAUAUCAUUGUUCUUGCCAAGAAGAUGUGUAUGAUCAUGAUGGAGAUGACAGACUUCACAAGGGGAAAAGGACCACUGAAGCAUACAACUGAUGUGAUCUAUGCAGCUAAAAUGAUAUCAGAAUCAGGAUCAAGGAUGGACGUCCUUGCUCGGCAGAUUGCCAACCAGUGCCCAGAUCCAUCAUGCAAACAGGACUUGUUGGCCUACCUGGAACAGAUUAAAUUCUACUCUCACCAGCUGAAAAUCUGCAGUCAGGUUAAAGCUGAGAUCCAGAGCCUGGGAGGAGAGCUCAUCAUGUCAGCAUUGGACAGUGUCACCUCCCUGAUCCAAGCAGCCAAAAAUUUAAUGAAUGCUGUAGUGCAAACAGUGAAAAUGUCUUACAUUGCCUCAACCAAGAUCAUCCGAAUUCAGAGUCCUGCUGGGCCCCGGCACCCAGUUGUUAUGUGGAGAAUGAAGGCUCCUGCAAAAAAACCCUUGAUUAAAAGAGAGAAACCAGAGGAAACUUAUGCAGCUGUCAGACGAGGCUCAGCAAAGAAAAAAAUCCACCCAGUGCAAGUGAUGAGUGAAUUUAGAGGAAGACAUAUCUACUGAAACCACUAUUCUACUCUAGUGUUUAUAUGACAAAGUCCUGGCUAAACACACUGCUUUAUUUUUACACUUGAUUAGUUCCGUAAGUUCACUAACUUAGAAUUUAACCCACAAAUAAUGUAAAACACUGAAAGCCUAACCAACAUGAGCAACGUAUAUUGGGGAUCAUGCCAUUGUCAUUUCUGCAUGGCCAGCACCUAAUAAGGAAUCAACAGAUGCUUGUUGAAUGAAUGAAAUCUUCAGGGUCAUUCAGCCUCUCCCAUCACGGAGAAUAUCUUAUAUUCAUUACUAAAUGAACACAGGAGACUCAAAUGAGUCCUGUUCACCUGUAACAGCUUAAGUAUACUCACCCUCUUCAUUUUAAAUUAAAAUAGUGAUGUGAGCUCUUGACUUGGUUUUCAACGGAAACAAAAGAUUUCAUAAAAUACUCUCCCAUUUAAUCUCCAUACUUCCUUUAUCUGAUGUAACCUGACAGACAUGUGUGAUUCCUUCUACAGGAAAAAAAAAAAAAUCACUCUCUAGAUAUUUGUAACAGUUGUUGUCAACUGAUUGGGCUAAUAUCCAUCAGAAACUAACCAAGCUUGAGCAAUCAAGUUACUUUCUGGAUUUUCAAGGUCCGCCUUAAUUAUUUAUGAAACAAUUUAUUAACAUUAUAAAGUUUACAAUGAGUCUUCAUGCCACAAGUGUGCAUUUCAGGACUCCACUGUGUUCAGCUGUUCUGCACGUUGAGUUCUGGAUUUAAAAAGGCCCACCAGAACACUACAUAUAUGGAGGAAGAGUUAUCAUCCGUUGGGGAAAUGGGCAUUUAACUCUAUCCCCAAGCGAGUUAUGACUGAUAACAGAAAUGCAAGGAGUUCUGCAUGACUCCGUUUGUAUCACCUUGCAAGUGUAAUUAGAAGGAAAAGGCCAGUUUGAAAAAUAUUUUGUCAUUGAGUAAAAUAUAACUCAAAAAAUGUGUGUGGUACCGCUGAACUCUGAAGUAGAGUUAGUGGCGAUGAAGCUGGAGUGAUUUUAAUAACUUUUUAAAAUAAAAGUCUGAGGUCAUUUUAUAACUGCAAUCAAUGUGCUGAUGCCGAAUUGAGUUCAUAAUGCACUUUAUAAUAGUUUCAGGGUCUAGCGCGUUGCUUCUCUCUUUCUACUUCUUUCUGUCGGUCUGUCUCUGGAGGAGCUAAGUUUCAGUUUUACCUUUUCUCAUGCAUAGAGUUCCCAUUCACAGGAUUUUAAACAUGAAUUUCCUAUUCUACUUUAUCAAAAUUAUACCCACAUCAUAACUUCACUUUGUAAAACAUUUCCAUCAAUGAACUGUUUCAACAGCCAUGUCAUCUUAGUUUGACUAGGUAAAGUUUAAACAUGCAACAUCAGCUGAUGUCAGGAGGGCCAGUUUGGGUAAAAGAAUGUGUGAAACAUAAGAAGGCAUAAAGGUUGAGAGCAUGAUGUGUGUGGUAUGUUGAACAAAAUGGUAUGGGAAAUGUUGAACAAAAUGGUAUGGGAAAGGGAUUUAAUCGGUCAAUAUGUUAAUAAAUUAUAGGGAAAAUGUAAACUUUUUUCACUGUAAUAUGUUAUAUUGUUCUUCCAAAAUGCUAGGUUACCUGGGCUAAGUAUUGAUACAUACACUUUCUAAGAGUGAAAGCAAUAUGCUCCUGCCUCUCUUGCAGUGUACACUGGCCCACGGUCAAUAUUAUUCUGGACAGAGUCCACUCCCUCAAAGAAAAGGCAGUGCAGAAAGGAAUUAGAGAAUCCAGAUAAUUAUAUUGUCCAGGACUAGCUAGCUAACUGAGGCAAAACAGGGAAUUUCUUUUGUUGACAUGCUACCAUCAUUUUCUGUUCUAAGAUAGACAUUACAAGAGUUACAUCUAUGACACUUCCUUUUGUCAGGUAGAAGUAUGAAUUUACAAUUUAGUUGAGAAAAUAAUUUCUUAAAAAAAAAUUACCAAACUACUAGUAUAUCUUAGUUCCUAAAGCCACAUGCUCAAGAAUCAUAAGAGUCUCAUUUACAAAAUCUAAUGUCUGUUUAAUUCUACAUCAGCUUUCCACAGGCUAGAGUUUAGAAUGCAGCGCUGGAUGCCAAAAGAACAUAACUAAUUUGAAAUUAUACACUUAUCAAAUAACCUCUGUAUCUAUCUUAAGAAAAUGACUCUUUAAAAAUGAGAUGUGAACAGGUCCUCCUCUUCAAAGUAGAGGGAUUUCCAGCUUAGCUCAAAGCAAACUAUAAUUAAGCAAAACUUAAUUUAAAAAAAAAAACAUUAACUUGGAGAAUGUCCCAGGAGUAAAGUCUGGUGCAAUAAUCAAAGGUGCAAUAAGAACAAGAUGUACAGAGCUGAGAAGGACAUCUGUCCACCUGACUCAAUUCCUUCAGUGGGCAGCAUUUCAGGAUUUAAUUCAAUUCAAACCCGCUAAUAGUAUAAUACUUAGAAGAAAAAUUAGCAGCAAAUAUAUUAACAAAUCCUCCCAUUAUAAAACAUAGUUAAAUGAAUCUAAUCAGUAAGUAUGAAGGUGGUGUAUAUAUUUAUAACUAAGCCCUUCUUCUGGCAGGGGAAUGACAGAAAUUUCUUAAUGAGAGUGAUUGCUUGGUGGCCCAUCUAUGCAUCUUUUGAAAUUGCAUCACAGAGAUUGGUGCUUCUUCUAAUGAUACUUUUGCUUUAUCUUGCUAAUCAAAACUCACCUUUCUCUUUUAGUGAAAUUGAGUUAUGUUAAUUUAUGAAGGAAAAAUCAUCUUUGGGAGGGAGAAGAGGGUUUAUAUCACCUUUGAAGGACAGCAGUUCCGUCCUGGUUAGCCACCAGCAUCACUGGCAAACAUUAGACUGAAAUCAGAAUGGUAAGUUAGAAAAUAUCUGUGAAUCCACUCAAGAUUUUUUAGUUAGAAAAACUGGAAGGUUUCCAUUAAAUAGGAAAGGUGAUAAAUAUAAAUCUUUCCCUUUUACUUAUCACAAGUGGAAAUUAAUGGCUUAAAAUAUUUCCUUCUUUCUAAUGGACUGAAUGAGUCUGGAAAAAAAUUCAAACACUAAACUUCUAAAGAAAUUUGUUAAUUAUUCCCUUUCUGCUUGUCUUAUGACAUGAACGAAAACUGUGAAUGUAUUAGAAAAUACAAUAUUCUUAAAAUUGCCUUCUGGUCUUUGCAAAUCUCUAAAUUUAUCAGUAUUAAGAUAACAUAUACGUUCCCCAUAAAAUUCCUUCUGGAUGAGGGGUAAGUACCUCCACAACUCUAUAGAAAGGCCCGCGUCGUCAGGCUGACAUCCUUGCACACUUAACAUCUUCAGAGAGGUCAGUUUUCAAGUCACAGUAAAGCAAGAUAUCUAAAAUUGUGAGCACACCGUUAAGUGCCCAAUCUGGGCCUCAAACCUAAUAAUUAGUGCUCCUCAAAUUUAAUGAGUGGCUGAAAAGACUAAUGUCUGACAACAGAGAAAGUAUUUCCAGUGACUUCCUACACCUUCACAUUCAGGGUGGUCUUUUCAUCUCACCAUCCCUGAGCUCCGUAUCUUCCUAUAAACUGCUGACAGUUUGCUACCAGAAUGAUGCAGCAGACCUGCUCAUCCCAAUCAGUUACCCCCAAAUAAUGCCCUUCCCUCUUAGUCCAAAAUCUCUCUUGCUCAUCUCUCAUCCCCUUAGGAGACCAUCCCACAUAUCAAUUGAUUAAUACAUUCUGUAGCAUUCUAGUUAAAAGUAUUAAUUUUAAUUCCCAAUGCCAUUAUCUUUUUUCUUUUUUUUUCUAUUCCAGAAAACAUUCUUAUCUUUUUCGGUGUCAAAUGAACACUUCCAUGCUAGGCACUGUGGUUCCCAUGGAUACAUAUUUCUGUACAGUGGCAGAAUGAGUAGAGUGAGAUCGAGACUUUUCCUGGUGAUAUUUACCUUUCUCUAGUGAAGUCCUUGCAGAGCUGCCAGCCUGUUUCACCUUCAUUGUAACUAAUUCUCUAGGUUAGCAAAGCAAGCGCCAGAAUAUCAAGUUGAGUAAAAUCUGUACUUUUGUCUGCCUGCCUUUUGUUAAGACAGGCUGCUUAUUGCAUAUUUAGGUAUCAAACAGCCAUUUUUCUUUUUGGAAAGUCUAGGUUAGCAAAGCAAGCGCCAGAAUAUCAAGUUGAGUAAAAUCUGUACUUUUGUCUGCCUGCCUUUUGUUAAGACAGGCUGCUUAUUGCAUAUUUAGGUAUCAAACAGCCAUUUUUCUUUUUGGAAAGUCUAGGUUAGCAAAGCAAGCGCCAGAAUAUCAAGUUGAGUAAAAUCUGUACUUUUGUCUGCCUGCCUUUUGUUAAGACAGGCUGCUUAUUGCAUAUUUAGGUAUCAAACAGCCAUUUUUCUUUUUGGAAAGUCAGAAAUACUUCUGUUUGACUGCAUCAGAAAAUUUAGGGGCAUCCAGUUAAAAGACUGUAACUUCCAUAUUAUUUUAAUAAUUCUUUUUAAGUCAACUAGAAAAAGGUCUGCAACCUUAAAAAUUUAUAUUUAUUUAUCAUUUUCAUGUAUAUGUCACAUACCAGAAAACAACACUUAAUCGGACAAAAACCCUAUAGCAUUUUUUGUCAUAACUCUCUUUCCCUAUCAUUAUAAUAUCUUUAAUAUUAGUAAAUAUUUUGCAUGUUACUGCCAAAUAGACAAGCCAGGCCUAAUGACAGAAGAGUCUACACACAAAGUAGUUUAAAGUUUUCAUUUUGGUUCUUUGGGUCUAUUAGGAUAGAAAAAUGUGGAUGUUACUAAAACCAGGUGUAUGCAACUAAAGAGGCAAUCAAGGUUUUAACACUAUCCUAGACAUCUGAAAGAGAGAAGGAUUAAAAUUUUUAAUGCAUUCUUUUGCCAUUUUAACUAAUUUACAUGAACAAGAAACAUUUUCUAUUAAAGCAAAAGAAAGAAUAAUUUCCUAUAUUAACCAUUUUACAUGUGAAUUUUCUUCCCCUACCAAGAUAGACAGGACUUAUUCCUGAACACUUCAAAAGAAGAUUAUACUAACUGAGCGAACCGCUUCCAAAUGGAACCCAACCUUACCAGAAUCCCACCUACAGACAAUAGAUGGUUUGUAGGGCUGGCCUUUAUGUAGAUCCUGGGAUGAGAUGUUUCAUGGCUGCAGGCUGGCUUCUAGAAUCCAACAGUCCCCACUGGUUUAGGAGAACAAAACCCAAGGAAUGAACUUCAAAAUGAAUUUAACGAGUUGGAGGGGGAAAAAAGCAGUAAAUACAGAGCAGUUCUAAAAGAAAGUGGGUAAGAAAGUGACAGAGGUAGAGGAGGGAAUAAGAAAGGUAGUUGCAGAAGCAGGUAACUUUUACACCAGAGGGAGGAAGAGUUUUGAGUUCUAUGACGAUUAGGCAGCCUUCUCCUGAGGAAGAUUUUAAGGAUAGGAUAGGGCACUUAUCUUUGGCAGUUUGGGUGAAGUCGUGUCAGGGCAGAGGACAAACUAUAUAACUUUUGAGGAUCAUUUAGUGAUAUUGUUUGCAAGAUGAGAAAUUGAAAUUCAGCCAAUUUUUUAGCAUGUUGGUGGGUGAAAUUCUCCCCAGUAUCAGAGUUAAUCAGGAUAUUAUAUAUUUAACAAAUAUCUUUUGAGCAACUUUGAUGUUCCAGGCACUGCUCCAGGUUCUUAGGAUAUACCAGAUAACAAAACAAACAGUGAUUCUUGCCCUUAUGGGCAGACUCUGUGUUGAAUGCUAUUACCUUAUUUAAUUUUUUCAAUAACCCUAGGAGAUAAACAUUAUCAGCUCUAUUCCUUAGGAAAAGAAACUAAGGAGACGGAUCUUGCUUGAAAACUCACUGGCCUUAAAAUUUGGUUGCACUCUAGAGUCUGAACUUUUAGCCACCACACCAUCCAGAUUUCCUGGAAAAUGGGAUUGGAUUUUUUAGUUGAAAAUGAGAUGCACAUUUCAAAUGCUGGCUGGCUUCCUAAGUAAGAGCAAAAGGAUCAAAACUUAAAUAUAUAUGGUAUAUAAAUCCAUGCCUACAUCACUCAAAGCAAAUAAAAAGCAGGUACAUAAGUAAUUAGCUGAACGUUAUAACCUCUAAUAAUUGAAUAAAAAUAUCAGAUAUAUGAGGAGUGAAUAUUUCAUCUACGUGAUCUGAAGUCAGAUGAAAACACCAAAUUACUUUCACUUCCACAGAGGUGAAAUCUUCCAUGGAGAUGCCUGUUUAAAAUCCAUCUUUAGCAUUGACUGGUGAAAACAAUUUGUUGACACCAUUUCUUUCCUUCUUUACUGCUAAUGUGUGUUUAAAAUUAUAUAUCCCAGGGAGGAUGGGCCAAGGAUUACUGAAAUAAGCUAAAGUUUCUUUGUAUUCCACACUGACUGAACCAUAGGAAAUGUAUGUUUCCUUCUUUAUAGAGGUAACAAUGUAUACAGUAUGUGUCUGACUGUAAGCAAAUUUAGUCCUUUAACUUUACAUGGUGCUUCUUCCUAGAGACAACUGAAGUCUAGACUCUCCCUCUUGCCCAUGUUGCUGGAUAGACCUCCCUAUCUCAGGCCUGGGGUAGUUAAAUGACUUCCUAAUCUUUCUUAAAGUAGGGCCAGAAAUGUUUCCUUAAACUGGGAAUGUAUUUAUUUGGGGGUCUUCAAUUUUGGGUACCUGGCAGUCAUGAUGGUGCCUGCUGCCAACUGUCGUAAAAGGAAGCUCUGGAGGGAAACUCUUUCUGAAAGAGGCUCAGAUUUCUAACAACCAUCUCUAAAAAUCUCUUCAAUGUAGGAUAUAUAAAACAGCCACUUAAAUGGUAUUAGCAGAAUACUAAUUCUACUUAUGUCCUGUGUUUUCAUUCCAAAUGAGGUAUUUUUUAGUUAUAAAGUUUUCUUUCCUUUGCAUUUUCAAGAAGAAUGCUUAUUUUUUGUUCUGGGUAUUUGGUCUUAAAGAUACGUAGCAUCUCUAAACAUCUUAAAGCCCCCUUUCAAUAAUUAUAUCAAUAGUUCAAAGCCGGCAGAUUACUUUUUCUAUUCAGACAACCAUGUAUUAUGUAGUCCCAGGCCAGCCCUCAACAUGUCCAUCAGUUUCCCAUCUUUAUGAAUUAUCUGAACCUCUCUGUGAUAUUCAGUGAUAGUCUAGCUAAGACUGACAAGUCUGGGCUUCUAACAUCAAAUCUGGAUUGGAGUGUUUAUUCAUAAGGCAAAGGGGCAAGUCUGAGAGGUUAGUUCACACUCUCAGUUACACAGAACUUUUCUUCUUCCUUAAGCUUUAAACAUAAAAUUAAUUUUGAAAAUACUGUAGAGAUAGUAUUCCAUUGCUUGCUGAAUCUUAUACCAUUAUAACUCUAUUUUUAUGUGCUGGUAUACAAUGAGAUAUAAAUAUGAGAAUUUCAGCAACUGUCUUGCAGGGUUAAGCUGUGCUUCUGACUGAUUUUGAAAAUUGUCCUUGUGUGGUAAAAUUCCUCCAAAGAAAAUUUCAUUGGCCCUGAAUGACAGCAUAAUAAUUUUUCUUUGAUAUCCAUGACUAACAACUCCCUGAAAACAGAAGUAGACAUAUGUUAUGCCCAAUUUAGUACCUAAUAGUUGGGACUUUAAAAAACAAAACAAAAUUUUCUUGAGCAAGUUUUUGGGUGAUUAAAUAUGAAUUAAAACUUCCAGUGAAAGAUUUCCAGAUGCCCCUGCUUUCCAUUUUGAUUAUGUUUUAGUUCCAUACUGACUUGGCAAAAAAAAAAAAAAAAUGCACUUACUUUACCUUAUGUACUUUUACAGGCAACAACUUUGACAUUUUAAACUUA
This is a non-coding RNA of Delphinapterus leucas (beluga whale), 10947 nucleotides long. The record is from RefSeq and is a predicted model, not a curated record. Lineage: Eukaryota; Metazoa; Chordata; Mammalia; Artiodactyla; Monodontidae.